CCUACGGGAGGCAGCAGUGAGGAAUAUUGCACAAUGGGGGAAACCCUGAUGCAGCAACGCCGCGUGAGUGAAGAAGUAUCUCGGUAUGUAAAGCUCUAUCAGCAGGGAAGAGAAUGACGGUACCUGACUAAGAAGCCCCGGCUAACUACGUGCCAGCAGCCGCGGUAAUACGUAGGGGGCGAGCGUUAUCCGGAUUUACUGGGUGUAAAGGGAGCGUAGACGGUUCUGCAAGUCUGGAGUGAAAGCCCGGGGCUUAACCGCGGAACGGCUUUGGAAACUGUGGAACUGGAGUGCUGGAGAGGCAAGCGGAAUUCCUAGUGUAGCGGUGAAAUGCGUAGAUAUUAGGAGGAACACCGGUGGCGAAGGCGGCUUGCUGGACAGUAACUGACGUUGAGGCUCGAAAGCGUGGGGAGCAAACAGGAUUAGAUACCCCUGUAGUC
This 440-nucleotide ribosomal RNA is filed under the name uncultured bacterium. RNAcentral describes it as "partial 16S ribosomal RNA". It matches the Rfam family "Bacterial small subunit ribosomal RNA", at positions 338 to 795 of the family's 1533-position model. The record is from RNAcentral.